AGCGAACGCUGGCGGCAGGCUUAACACAUGCAAGUCGAACGGGCAUCUUCGGAUGUCAGUGGCAGACGGGUGAGGAACACGUGGGAACAUGCCCUUCGGUUCGGAAUAACUCAGGGAAACUUGAGCUAAUACCGGAUACGCCCGAGAGGGGAAAGAUUUAUUGCCGAAGGAUUGGCCCGCGUCUGAUUAGCUAGUUGGUGAGGUAACGGCUCACCAAGGCGACGAUCAGUAGCUGGUCUGAGAGGAUGAUCAGCCACAUUUGGGACUGAGACACGGCCCAAACUCCUACGGGAGGCAGCAGUGGGGGAAUAUUGGACAAUGGGCGAAAGCCUGAUCCAGCCAUGCCGCGUGAGUGAUGAAGGGCCUUAGGGUUGUAAAGCUCUUUUAGCAGGGAAGUAAGCGAAAGUAGACGGUACCUGGCAGAAAAAGCACCCGGUCUAACUACGUG
This 448-nucleotide ribosomal RNA is filed under the name uncultured bacterium. RNAcentral's name for it is "bacterial SSU rRNA". It matches the Rfam family "Bacterial small subunit ribosomal RNA", at positions 29 to 507 of the family's 1533-position model. The record is from RNAcentral.